Molecule: non-coding RNA, 1113 nt
Organism: Pimephales promelas (fathead minnow)
Lineage: Eukaryota; Metazoa; Chordata; Actinopteri; Cypriniformes; Leuciscidae
Source: RefSeq, a predicted model, not a curated record
GGACAGGAAUCGAAAUCUAUGCAUGGUUCUUGGUUCGACAUCGGCCGGAUCAGAUGUAAAUUGUAACCGAUCAGAGAGAAUUUUUCAGGAGAGAGAGGCUGAAAACCCGGAGAAAUGAAGUCAGACACUUUCCCGCUUCAGCUGUGUUUGCAUACUAUCACAGCUGAAGUGAAAUAAAUGCAAUAUCUGUCAAAUACACAGAAUUCAGACACUUUUCUAUUGAAUACUUAGCCUAGGCCGACUACAGUGUUUGUUUGCACAAGUGUAAAGUUCAACAUCUCAAUGAAGUGGCUGUCUACGUUUUUUUUAAUCAGUUUUAUUUUGAUUUGCGAGUAUACACAAAAAGAGAGUUUGUUAUAGAAAAAGGUGGAUUUGUUGAUCAGAAUGUCCCGGUACUGGAGAGGGGAAGUUUUUUUUAUUAUUAUUCCUGACCCUAUUUUGAUUCAAAGUAAAUGGAGUAGACUCUGGGAAUACUGGGAAUGAAUCGUGAACAGGAGUCGACUCCAAAAAAUCCGGUCUCGAACACCCCUGGGUAACGCCCCGUGUCACGUGGGCCGUGACGUGUCCGCUGUAUAAAUUCGCUCGCUCCCCCUUUCUCGUUCUCUUUCUCCGUGCACCUCGAGAAUAGCAAGCUUCUCUCCGACACAAAGAAGAGUUGAUCGACCUUAAAACGUGUUCAUAAUGAACCACACGCGAAGAAGAUGCAAGCACAGGGCUUCCAGACCACCUUGAUUAAUGCCGGGUCUAAUGCGACUACACAAUGAUUGUCUGGUGGCUGUUUUACUGUGAUAACCGCACGCAGUUCCUGAAUUGGUGAGCGUCUGGAUCUGACUCCGUGCUGAGCAGACGCAGCAGAAACGCUUCUCUUGAGCAGAAACGCCAUGAGCUCCUGAUUCUCAGCGAAAUGCCCCACAGUGUCCGUGUUGGAGUGACAUCAGACCAUGAGAAUAACUUGAAACCUGCUUUAUUUGAGAAUAAACGUUGUAGAAAGAUAUGAAUGCCUCCUGUCAUGUGUUGAAUGAUGAUCUCUUCAGUGUCCAGGAAGUCUCUGUCCUGUUAAAGAAGUAGGGUGACUAAACUCCCCAAGUUUAAAUAAAAUAUUGUCCUGUUUUA